GACGAACGCUGGCGGCGUGCUUAACACAUGCAAGUCGAACGGAAAGGCUCCAGCUUGCUGGAGUGCUCGAGUGGCGAACGGGUGAGUAACACGUGGGCAAUCUGCCCUGCACUCUGGGAUAAGCCUGGGAAACUGGGUCUAAUACCGGAUAGGACCUUUCUCCUCAUGGGGUUUGGUGGAAAGUUUUUCGGUGCAGGAUGAGCCCGCGGCCUAUCAGCUUGUUGGUGGGGUAAUGGCCUACCAAGGCGACGACGGGUAGCCGGCCUGAGAGGGUGAUCGGCCACAUUGGGACUGAGAUACGGCCCAGACUCCUACGGGAGGCAGCAGUGGGGAAUAUUGCACAAUGGGCGAAAGCCUGAUGCAGCGACGCCGCGUGAGGGAUGACGACCUUCGGGUUGUAAACCUCUUUCAGUAGGGACGAAGCGCAAGUGACGGUACCUGCAGAAGAAGCACCGGCUAACUACGUG
Molecule: ribosomal RNA, 467 nt
Filed under: uncultured bacterium
Lineage: Bacteria
Description: partial 16S ribosomal RNA
Rfam family: Bacterial small subunit ribosomal RNA
Source: RNAcentral